Molecule: unclassified non-coding RNA, 296 nt
Filed under: Hevea brasiliensis (rubber tree)
Lineage: Eukaryota; Viridiplantae; Streptophyta; Magnoliopsida; Malpighiales; Euphorbiaceae
Source: RNAcentral
AGAGAUGUUGAUUGUUCUUGAUUCUUUGUCAAUAAAUACAGGAGGCUUCCCAUUGGAGUGCCUUCAUGUUGGUACCCCAAUGUGCUGCCCAUGUUUUUGCAGUUGAUCAAGGUCUGGAGCCAUUUUUGUACAGGAAUGGGAGGAUUUGGAAAGGUGUGUAUCAACUCUUUAUCCAAGUUCUGUGAAGAUUUUGUCCCAAGUUGGCGGAUAAGAUUGGAUUGGGAAAAUUUUGUAAGAGAAUGGGGUGCUAAUGGCAGUAAUGGUGAUCAUUUGUUUAACAGCUUGUUAAAACAAGC